RNAcentral lists this ribosomal RNA (1072 nucleotides) under Klebsiella pneumoniae. RNAcentral describes it as "bacterial SSU rRNA". It matches the Rfam family "Bacterial small subunit ribosomal RNA", at positions 39 to 1098 of the family's 1533-position model. Lineage: Bacteria; Pseudomonadati; Pseudomonadota; Gammaproteobacteria; Enterobacterales; Enterobacteriaceae. The record is from RNAcentral.
GGGGUAACAGAGGCUACACAUGCAGUCGAGCGGUAGCACAGAGAGCUUGCUCUCGGGUGACGAGCGGCGGACGGGUGAGUAAUGUCUGGGAAACUGCCUGAUGGAGGGGGAUAACUACUGGAAACGGUAGCUAAUACCGCAUAACGUCGCAAGACCAAAGUGGGGGACCUUCGGGCCUCAUGCCAUCAGAUGUGCCCAGAUGGGAUUAGCUAGUAGGUGGGGUAACGGCUCACCUAGGCGACGAUCCCUAGCUGGUCUGAGAGGAUGACCAGCCACACUGGAACUGAGACACGGUCCAGACUCCUACGGGAGGCAGCAGUGGGGAAUAUUGCACAAUGGGCGCAAGCCUGAUGCAGCCAUGCCGCGUGUAUGAAGAAGGCCUUCGGGUUGUAAAGUACUUUCAGCGGGGAGGAAGGCGAUAAGGUUAAUAACCUUGUCGAUUGACGUUACCCGCAGAAGAAGCACCGGCUAACUCCGUGCCAGCAGCCGCGGUAAUACGGAGGGUGCAAGCGUUAAUCGGAAUUACUGGGCGUAAAGCGCACGCAGGCGGUCUGUCAAGUCGGAUGUGAAAUCCCCGGGCUCAACCUGGGAACUGCAUUCGAAACUGGCAGGCUAGAGUCUUGUAGAGGGGGGUAGAAUUCCAGGUGUAGCGGUGAAAUGCGUAGAGAUCUGGAGGAAUACCGGUGGCGAAGGCGGCCCCCUGGACAAAGACUGACGCUCAGGUGCGAAAGCGUGGGGAGCAAACAGGAUUAGAUACCCUGGUAGUCCACGCCGUAAACGAUGUCGAUUUGGAGGUUGUGCCCUUGAGGCGUGGCUUCCGGAGCUAACGCGUUAAAUCGACCGCCUGGGGAGUACGGCCGCAAGGUUAAAACUCAAAUGAAUUGACGGGGGCCCGCACAAGCGGUGGAGCAUGUGGUUUAAUUCGAUGCAACGCGAAGAACCUUACCUGGUCUUGACAUCCACAGAACUUGCCAGAGAUGGCCUUGGUGCCUUUCGGGACUGUGAGACAGUGCUGCAUGGCUGUCGUCAGCUCGUGUUGUGAAAUGUUUGGGUUAAGUCCCCGCAACGAGCG